AGCUCAGUGAUUGUAGUCACUUUUGUUGGUAAUAUAUACGCUAUGCUGACCAUAGUUUGAUGAUGAAUGAGAAUAUGAGAGCU
Molecule: small nucleolar RNA, 83 nt
Filed under: Oryza meridionalis
Lineage: Eukaryota; Viridiplantae; Streptophyta; Magnoliopsida; Poales; Poaceae
Description: snoRNA U54
Rfam family: Small nucleolar RNA U54
About the family: U54 is a C/D box small nucleolar RNA, which acts as a methylation guide for 18S ribosomal RNA in plants.
Source: Rfam by way of RNAcentral